Molecule: long non-coding RNA, 539 nt
Organism: Orbicella faveolata
Lineage: Eukaryota; Metazoa; Cnidaria; Anthozoa; Scleractinia; Merulinidae
Source: RefSeq, a predicted model, not a curated record
CUGAAAAACCCUAACUUUUGGAGCCACACAUACCUAUAUAGCCCAUACAAGGGAGUACACCACCUGGGGGGUGCAAUAAGCUUUUUCUUUAACAGGUGUCAUAUUACACCCCCACCUUCCCACAACGGCCACCUCUCUACAACAGACACCUUCCUCUGUCUCAAAGCUGGCUGUUGUGGAGAGGUUCGACUGUAAUAAACAUCAAGGUUGAACACUCAACCUUUUUUUUUUUCAGCAGAAUAUCUGUACUCCACACCACAGCAAUUAUCCAAGAAGCUGAGAUAUUUUUGUAAAAAUCCACGACAUGUGAGGACUCACAAAGUCACUGCUGACUGGAGACGCUUCACGUGGGACACACUGAAGGAUUCAUUUUACGAACUUCUUUCUCCUACAGCAGAGGCAAACAAAGCCUGAUGUCUGAAUUACGCAGAGAAUUUCCUUUUAUUUUUCUGUCCACCUUGUUAGUUUGUCGUCACUGAUGAAGCUACACCUUGUAGCCUGGUAGUAAUACUUGAUAAAUAAUAAAAUCAAUCACGUCA